Trichomycterus rosablanca is the source of this 558-nucleotide long non-coding RNA. RefSeq lists it as uncharacterized. NCBI's taxonomy places the organism in Eukaryota, Metazoa, Chordata, Actinopteri, Siluriformes, Trichomycteridae. The record is from RefSeq and is a predicted model, not a curated record. The transcript is spliced from 6 exons.
AGCAUGAAAGGGGGCUAAAAAAGCAUGCAGAGAAACAGAUAGGCUACAGUCAGUAAUUGUAGAACUACAAAGUGCUUCUAUAUGAACCUGAGGAAGACAUCAAGCUUAGCUCUGUGCUAGCACCUGAGACAGGAAUACACUGGACAAGGCUUCAACCCAUGUCAGGUCUUUGUCUAUCCCCUUCUCAGACAUAGCCAAUCAUGUCUGUGUAGGCACCAGGUGGAGCUCUGGCCAACAUGGAAUGCUGGAUGCUCUACCCGUGGAGAAGAAAAGGAGAAAGGCAGAAGAACACAUGCAUGUGAUCAGAGCGUCCAGCUUCCACGCAUGCAUUUAUUCAUCGUUUCCUUUACAGCUCUUCCCUCCGUCUAUAGGCUGUCUGUGGUUAAAUCUGUGUCUGGGAGCAAUCGAGUCCAGUUUCAGUCCAACGCCACACCCACCCACAGCCACCCGACGCUGCCAAAUCACUGAUGUCAGUUCCCUUAGAGCAUUUUUUCUUUGUAUUGUUUUUCUCUUGGUAAAGUCCAUUAAGUUUUUUUUUAAAACACAUUAAACCCUUAU